RNAcentral lists this long non-coding RNA (384 nucleotides) under Homo sapiens (human). RNAcentral's name for it is "HSALNT0164027". Lineage: Eukaryota; Metazoa; Chordata; Mammalia; Primates; Hominidae. The record is from RNAcentral.
CCACCACCCUGUGAAUCUGCCUGCACAGUACCAACAGACGUGGAUAAGUGGUUCCAUCACCAGAAAAACUAAUGAGAUUUCUCUGGAAUACAAGCUGAUAUUGCUACAUCGUGUUCAUCUGGAUGUAUUAGAAGUAAAAGUAGUAGCUUUUCAAAGCUUUAAAUUUGUAGAACUCAUCUAACUAAAGUAAAUUCUGCUGUGACUAAUCCAAUAUACUCAGAAUGUUAUCCAUCUAAAGCAUUUUUCAUAUCUCAACUAAGAUAACUUUUAGCACAUGCUUAAAUAUCAAAGCAGUUGUCAUUUGGAAGUCACUUGUGAAUAGAUGUGCAAGGGGAGCACAUAUUGGAUGUAUAUGUUACCAUAUGUUAGGAAAUAAAAUUAUUU